Molecule: ribosomal RNA, 356 nt
Filed under: Bathycongrus retrotinctus (blackedge conger)
Lineage: Eukaryota; Metazoa; Chordata; Actinopteri; Anguilliformes; Congridae
Description: partial 12S ribosomal RNA
Rfam family: Bacterial small subunit ribosomal RNA
Source: RNAcentral
AAACAACGAUGGAAAUUUACAAAAACCAUCCGCCAGGGGAUUACAAGCACUAGCUCAAAACCCAAAGGACUUGGCGGUGCCUCACACCCACCUAGAGGAGCCUGUUCUAUAACCGAUACCCCCCGUUAAACCUCACCAUCCCUUGUUAAUCCAGCCUAUAUACCGCCGUCGCCAGCUUACCUUGUGAGAGACCAAUAGUAAGCCAAAUGGGUCACCCCCUGUACGUCAGGCCGAGGUGUAGCAAAUGAGAUGGGAAGAAAUGGGCUACAUUUUCUGACCCAGAAUACUACGAAAGGUGUAAUGAAAAAAACACAACUGAAGGUGGAUUUAGCAGUAAAAAGAAAAUAGAGUGUUCU